Molecule: transfer RNA, 65 nt
Filed under: Dipodomys ordii (Ord's kangaroo rat)
Lineage: Eukaryota; Metazoa; Chordata; Mammalia; Rodentia; Heteromyidae
Rfam family: tRNA
About the family: Transfer RNA (tRNA) molecules are approximately 80 nucleotides in length. Their secondary structure includes four short double-helical elements and three loops (D, anti-codon, and T loops).
Source: Rfam by way of RNAcentral
GGUGGCUCAGCGGUAGAGUGCUUGUCUCGCAUGCAUGAGGCCCUGGGUUCAAUUCCUCAGCACCG